GCGGAUGGCUGGAUAAUCGCGGGCUGGGGGCGAUCUCUGGCGCGAGGAAAGUCCGGACUCCAUCAAGCAACGGUGCCGGGUAACGCCCGGCGGGGGCAACCCUAGGGACAGCGCCACAGAGAACAGACCGCCUUACACGCGCGCAAGCGCAAGCUGGGGUAAGGGUGAAACGGUGGGGUAAGAGCCCACCGCGGGACUGGCAACAGAACCGGCAUGGCAAGCCCCACCGGGAGCAAUGCCAAAUAGGGACGUCGCGCGGGGACUGUGUGCUUUGCAUACCGCCCGCAGGGAUGCUUGAGCCCGAGACGUCCGGGUUGGCAGCUUGAGCCUGUUGGUAACAACAGGCCUAGAGGAAUGGUUAUCCACGGCGGGUCCGCCCGCUGAGACAGAAUCCGGCUUAUAGGCCGUCCGCGUAU
This 416-nucleotide RNase P RNA is filed under the name Celeribacter baekdonensis. RNAcentral describes it as "RNase P RNA component class A". It matches the Rfam family "Bacterial RNase P class A". Rfam says of the family: Ribonuclease P (RNase P) is a ubiquitous endoribonuclease, found in archaea, bacteria and eukarya as well as chloroplasts and mitochondria. Its best characterised activity is the generation of mature 5'-ends of tRNAs by cleaving the 5'-leader elements of precursor-tRNAs. Cellular RNase Ps are ribonucleoproteins. Lineage: Bacteria; Pseudomonadati; Pseudomonadota; Alphaproteobacteria; Rhodobacterales; Roseobacteraceae. The record is from RNAcentral.